CUACAACAGAAGCAACAACAACAACAAGAAUAAGGCCAGCUAAUUGUCAGGCAUUGAAAUAGAAUGACACUGGGGUAGACAGCCCAGAACGGUACGGGACGAAACCAGACGGGACAGACAUCAGACGUUGAAAAGGGUAGACCGUUCAGAUUACUCCUAUAGCUGGGUCUGGCAAUAAAGGCCAGGCGCUAAAAAAGGCAAGACCGUUUCUGUGCCAGCGAAACUCAGUUGAAAUGGAGAGGAAAACCCAGUAUAACUUAUCAGUUAUGGCCGAAGAGGUGCAUACACUUUAUCGCACAUAGACUAAGAAUUCUGAAUUCCUUUUGAUUAAGGUUACAAAUAUAUGAUCUUCAGAAGUG
Molecule: long non-coding RNA, 359 nt
Filed under: Drosophila guanche
Lineage: Eukaryota; Metazoa; Arthropoda; Insecta; Diptera; Drosophilidae
Source: RNAcentral